GCCCAUAUGGAGUAGUGGUUAACUCACUGGUCUCCGAUAUUACCUAUUACUAGGUAUAAUAUCAGGCAGUCAGGUACCCGGGUUCGAAUCCCGGUAUGGGCU
Hypoxylon fragiforme is the source of this 102-nucleotide non-coding RNA. The record is from the annotation of a RefSeq genome assembly. Lineage: Eukaryota; Fungi; Ascomycota; Sordariomycetes; Xylariales; Hypoxylaceae.